UAACCUAAUUAAAGCAAAAUUUAAAAUUAGGAAGUCUGUUCGACUUUCAAAAAAUUACAUGAUUUGAGUUCAGACCGGUACAAGCCAGGUCGGUUUCUAUCUUUUAAAAAAAUUCUUGUAGUACGAAAGGACCUAAGAACUUUAUAAUAUUAUAAAUUGGCAGAUCAAUGCAUUAGAAUUAGAAUCUAAUUAUCU
RNAcentral lists this ribosomal RNA (195 nucleotides) under Paradamoetas sp. MCH-2001. RNAcentral's name for it is "partial 16S ribosomal RNA". Lineage: Eukaryota; Metazoa; Arthropoda; Arachnida; Araneae; Salticidae. The record is from RNAcentral.